This 499-nucleotide ribosomal RNA is filed under the name uncultured bacterium. RNAcentral describes it as "partial 16S ribosomal RNA". It matches the Rfam family "Bacterial small subunit ribosomal RNA", at positions 28 to 507 of the family's 1533-position model. The record is from RNAcentral.
GACGAACGCUGGCGGCGUGCUUAACACAUGCAAGUCGAACGGGCCCGCCCCUGUUUUUGGGGGUGGGUUGAGUGGCGAACGGGUGAGUAUCACGUGAGUAACCUGCCCCCUGCUCCUGGAUAACUGCUUGAAAGGGCGGCUAAUACGGGGUGUGCCGGCUGGUCCGCAUGGGCCUGGUCGGGAUAGUUUCAUCUUCGGGUGUUUCGGUGGGGGAUGGGCUCGCGGCCUAUCAGCUUGUUGGUGGGGUGAUGGCCCACCAAGGCGGUGACGGGUAGCCGGCCUGAGAGGGUGGGCGGCCACACUGGGACUGAGACACGGCCCAGACUCCUGCGGGAGGCAGCAGUGGGGGGUAUUGCACAAUGGGCGGAAGCCUGAGGCAGCGACGUCGCGUGAGGGAUGGAGGCCUUCGGGUGGUGAACCUCUUUCUCCGGUGGUGAAGGCCCUGUCCGUUGCGGCGGGGUUGACGGUAGCCGGGUAUGAAGCGCCGGCUAACUACGUG